RNAcentral lists this ribosomal RNA (1360 nucleotides) under uncultured bacterium. RNAcentral's name for it is "bacterial SSU rRNA". It matches the Rfam family "Bacterial small subunit ribosomal RNA", at positions 28 to 1381 of the family's 1533-position model. The record is from RNAcentral.
GACGAACGCUGGCGGCGUGCUUAACACAUGCAAGUCGAACGGAAAGGCCUCCACCUUGGUGGGGGUGCUCGAGUGGCGAACGGGUGAGUAACACGUGGGUGAUCUGCCCUGUACUUCGGGAUAAGCUUGGGAAACUGGGACUAAUACCGGAUAGGACCAUGGUUUAGUGUCUCAUGGUGGAAAGAUUUUUUGGUGCAGGAUGAGCUCGCGGCCUAUCAGCUUGUUGGUGGGGUAAUGGCCUACCAAGGCGUCGACGGGUAGCCGGCCUGAGAGGGUGGACGGCCACAUUGGGACUGAGAUACGGCCCAGACUCCUACGGGAGGCAGCAGUGGGGAAUAUUGCACAAUGGGCGCAAGCCUGAUGCAGCGACGCCGCGUGGGGGAUGACGGCCUUCGGGUUGUAAACUCCUUUCGUUAGGGACGAAGCCGCACCUUUUUUGGGUGUGGUGACGAUACCUUUGUUAAGAAGCACCGGCUAACUACGUGCCAGCAGCCGCGGUAAUACGUAGGGUGCGAGCGUUGUCCGGAAUUACUGGGCGUAAAGAGCUCGUAGGUGGUUUGUUGCGUCGUCUGUGAAAUUCCGGGGCUUAACUUCGGGGUGGCAGGCGAUACGGGCAUAACUAGAGUGCUGUAGGGGAGACUGGAAUUCCUGGUGUAGCGGUGGAAUGCGCAGAUAUCAGGAGGAACACCGAUGGCGAAGGCAGGUCUCUGGGCAGUAACUGACGCUGAGGAGCGAAAGCAUGGGGAGCGAACAGGAUUAGAUACCCUGGUAGUCCAUGCUGUAAACGGUGGGCGUUAGGUGUGGGGACCGGUUUGGUUUCUGUGCCGUAGCUAACGCAUUAAGCGCCCCGCCUGGGGAGUACGGCCGCAAGGCUAAAACUCAAAGGAAUUGACGGGGGCCCGCACAAGCGGCGGAGCAUGUGGAUUAAUUCGAUGCAACGCGAAGAACCUUACCUGGGUUUGACAUGCACCAGACGGUUGUAGAGAUACGUACCUCCCUUUGUGGUUGGUGUGCAGGUGGUGCAUGGUUGUCGUCAGCUCGUGUCGUGAGAUGUUGGGUUAAGUCCCGCAACGAGCGCAACCCUUGUCUUAUGUUGCCAGCACUUUGGGUGGGGACUCAUGAGAGACUGCCGGGGUUAACUCGGAGGAAGGUGGGGAUGACGUCAAAUCAUCAUGCCCUUUAUGCCCAGGGCUUCACACAUGCUACAAUGGUUAGUACAACGCGCUGCGAGCCUGUGAGGGUGAGCGAAUCGCUGAAAGCUAAUCUCAGUUCGGAUUGGGGUCUGCAACUCGACCCCAUGAAGUCGGAGUCGCUAGUAAUCGCAGAUCAGCAAUGCUGCGGUGAAUACGUUCCCGGGCCU